Molecule: non-coding RNA, 138 nt
Organism: Caenorhabditis elegans
Lineage: Eukaryota; Metazoa; Nematoda; Chromadorea; Rhabditida; Rhabditidae
Source: Ensembl
AAAGUGGGAGGAUGAGGCGCCAAUUAAAAAAACACAUAUUAUCCGAGACGAGAGAAGUGAUCGCGGGGAAGAGAUGACCGAUUCGCAGCGACUAAUUGGUCAAGAUUGUGUGAGAGGUGUCGGGUUUCUCGCGCACGA